CAGAGGGUGCAAACGUUGUUCGGAAUUACUGGGCGUAAAGCGUGUGUAGGCGGUCCACUAAGUCGGGUGUGAAAGCCCUGGGCUCAACCCAGGAAGUGCACUCGAAACUGGCGGGCUAGAGUAUCGGAGAGGUUGGUGGAAUUCUCGGUGUAGAGGUGAAAUUCGUAGAUAUCGAGAGGAACACCGGUGGCGAAGGCGGCCAACUGGACGAAUACUGACGCUGAGACACGAAAGCGUGGGGAGCAAACAGGAUUAGAUACCCUGGUAGUCCACGCCGUAAACGAUGGGUGCUAGGUGUCGCGGGCUUUGACUCCCGCGGUGCCGUAGCUAACGCAUUAAGCACCCCGCCUGGGAAGUACGGCCGCAAGGCUA
This 372-nucleotide ribosomal RNA is filed under the name uncultured organism. RNAcentral's name for it is "bacterial SSU rRNA". It matches the Rfam family "Bacterial small subunit ribosomal RNA", at positions 526 to 896 of the family's 1533-position model. The record is from RNAcentral.